GAUAUUAGGCAUGACUUAUAGAUUAUUUACAACUAUUUUUAUACUAUAAAUAUUUAAAUGCGUCAUAAUUAUCCGUCGAACGAUGUGUUAUAUAAAUAAAAAUUAACAUUCACAUGCUACAGAUUAUUAAGAAACGCAUAUUAUUUUGUUUUUCUUUAACACGUUUCGAGAAAGGUGGAUUACAGUGAAUGAAUUGUUAAAUAAAAGUGACAACAAAUUAAACCAUUAAAAUGUUAAGUCAAUCAGAUGAUUCAAGAUGGGGGUGAACAAAAGCGGAAAAAUAUAUACUUUUUUCUAAUACCAUGUUUGUGUCACUUAAUAGGUGUUUUAGAAGCGAAUGUUUCGUUAACAGCAUAUGGCGACAUUGCUUUAGAUGGACUUCUUAAAUGUUCCGGGCAAUGUGUUUUCGGCUGUAAAAUCAAACCAAACUCACUUGCUUUUACAUGGGAAAUAAACAAACAAAUUGUUUUUGAAUGUAUCAACAAUAUAUGCAACACACUUGGGACAAAUUACAAAUUUUCAUUUGAUAGUACUCAUGGCAUAUUUAACAUAUCAAUGGACAAGAUAGUAUAUGCUGACAAUUUGAAGCAGUUUAAGUGUGAUGAUGGCUAUGAGUCAGCAUCUUUUACUGCAAGAAUUAAAGGUAAAGUACAAGUAAUUUUAAUAAUUUCUUGCUUGUUGUACAUGUGUAAUCAUUAUAAGUUGAUGAAAAGUAGAUAAAACUCUUCUUCAUUGUAAUUUCUUGAAAAUUUAAUAAAAGGAAAAAUCAGAAAUGUUUUAAUUUUUGAAUCUUGAUUACAAAGAUCACGGCAGAAUUCAUGAACGCAGCCCCUGACAUGCAGCAAAAUCGAAACCAUUUUGAACAGAGAAAAACAUAGGACAAAGUAAAGGGCAAACUGAAACAGUAAGGGCGCGACGUCGAUACAAGUAAAAACGAAAUUAAAGAAACAGUCGAGCCAGGGAGGGACAAUUUCAAAAGAAAAACCAAGGGUAAACCUACAUCAGAGGACUGAAUACUCAUCUUAAGAUAACAAUUUUGAAGAGUAUCGUAUUUACUGCCUUGAGUCGAUCCACAAAUACACCAUUUCUUGUGUAAUUAUACCCUGCAGUACUUCCACUUAUAAAAUAAGUUGACAGAUGUAGUAUGUAGCAUUUGAUAUAACACAACGAUUGGUAUCAUUUUAUUUAAUUAAUUAUAAUUUCUAAUUUGGUAGUGAUACCAGAAGCUAGCGCUACAACAAUUACGUCGUCAAGUGAUUCAUCGUCAACUACUUCUAUUAAAGUAACGACAGGUUGCCUUUCGCCUAGUACAAGUGUCUCUUUUACAUGGUACUAUUUUAAGGAAGGACAGAUACCAGUUUUAUUUGAGGAAAUGAUACCAUUAGAAUCAACUGACGAAUAUGGCUGUAUAAAUGGACAUUGUGGAGGAAAAGGGGUUGUCAAGGUUACCAGUAGAUUGACUAUUGACGAAGAUUCCGAUGGAGAAUAUUAUCAGUUUUAAGUUUUGGUCAAUCAGACUGAUGCAGCAGAGUUAUAUAUUAAAACAGAUCGUAGAUUUAAACUAAAAGAUAAGGAGAACAAUAAAAUUACAACUCAUUCCACAAACGUUUUUCGGGACGGAAGUAAAAGAGUACAGACCGAAACAAGUUGGUUAAUGCUGGUCACAUACCGCUGGAUAAUAUUACAAUAGUGCUUCGUGUAGUCGGAAACGUCGCCAUCAAAGCGUCCGGAACACGGUGCUUUUAUAAAUAUUAAUUUUAAACGUAUGUAUAUAUGUUUUUAUCUAUUUGAAAAGACUCCUCCAAAAAGUAAAACUUUUUGAGGGAAAAAUGAAACAUAUUUUGUCAAUAAAAAUUCAAACGUAUUUUUUACAGUUGAACUAAUCUUGAAAAAGACACACGUUGUUGGCGGGAUAGAAACAUGCGCAUGAAAUAUAUUUCCGUGGCUAUGUGACCUGAAAAAAGUGCUAUUCGUUGGUACACAUGUGACACUUUUAUGGGAUAAUGUUUUUUUAUAAAAGAUAAUAGAAUGCUAGUGGUAGCAUUGAAGAGAUUUGUUGUUUGUUACGUCAUGUAAAGAUGUGGUUCAUGACAAUUUAUGUUUUGCUUUAGAUUUUUCACUUACUAGUCCUCCCAUUCGUUUCAUAAUUUAACUGUUUAUUUUUGAUAAUUGUGUAAAGGUGGAUAAGUCCGUCAUUUCACUGAACAUUUUCUAAAGUCUCCUUAAUCUCUAGUUUGAGCUCACUGAAAAAGGCGGACUAGUCCUCCUUCACGUUUUAUACUUGAGUUUUUUUUAUUGUUGUAUACAGGUGGAUUAGUCCGUCAUUUCAGUUAAUGAUUUAAAAGACUCCUUGAUCUUUAUUUCGAGUUUCACUGAAAAAGGCGGACUAAUCCCCCUUCAUGGUUUUAAUUUUAUUAUUGUUUAAAGUUGGAUUAGUCCAUUAUUUCAGUUAAUGAUUUCUAAAGACUCUAAUCUUUAUUUUGAGUUUCAGUGAAAAAGGCGGACUAAUCCUCCUUCGUCUUUUACAAUUGAGUUUCUGUUUCUUUUGAUUAUUGUAUAAAAGUCAACUAGUCCGUCAUUUCAGUUAAUGAUUUGUAAAGACUCCUUGAUCUUUAUUUUGAGUUUCACUGAAAAAAGGCGGACUAAUCCUUCUUCACGUUUUAUAAUUGAGUUUUUUUUGUUGAUUAUUUUAUAAAGUUGGAUUAGUCUGUCAUUUCAGUUUAUGGUUUCUAAAGACUCCUUGAUCUUUAUUUUGAGUUUAAUUGGAGAAGGCGGACUAGUUCUCCUUGAGAGUUUUAGUUUGAUUAUUGUUUCAAGUUGGAUUAGUCCGUCAUUUCAGUUCAUGAUUUCUUAAGACUCUUUGAUCUUUAGUUUGAGUUUCACUGAAAAAGGUGGACUUAUCCUCCUUAAUAUUUUACAUUUGAGUUUUUUUAUUAUUAUUAUUGUAUAAAAGUGAAUUAGUCCGUCAUUUCAGUUAAUUAUUUCUAAUGACUUCUUGAUCUUUAUUUUGAGUUUAAUUGGAGAAGGCGGACUAAUCUUCUUUCGUGUUUUAUAAUUGAGUUUUUUACUUUGAUUAUUUUUUAAAGUCGAUUAGUCCGUCAUUUCAGUCACUGAUUUCUAAAGACACUUGAUCUUUAUUUUGAGUUUCACUGAUAAAGGCGGACUAAUCCUCCUUCAUGUUUCCUUAUUGAGUUUUUUGUUUUGAUCAUGGUAUAAAGGUGGAUUAGUCCGUCAUUUCAGUGAACGUUUUCUUAAGAUUAUUUUAUAAAUAUCAUUUCUUUGGUUUAAGUUACAUUGAAUGGGGCGGACUAAUCCUCCUUCAAUUUUAUAAUUGAGUUUGUUUAGUUUGAUUAUUGUAUUAGGUUGGAUUAGUCCGCCAUUUCAGUUAAUGAUUUCUAAAGACUCCUUGAUUUUAUUUUGAGUUUAAUUGAAAAAAAAGCGGACUAAUCCUCCUUCAUGUUUUAUAAUUGAGUUGUUUAGUUUUGGUUAUUGAGUUUAAUUGAAGAAGGCGGACUAAUCCUCCUAGACUUUUUUAGUUUGAUUAUUGUAUAAAGUUGAAUUUGUCCGUCCUUUCAAUUAAUGAUUUCUUAAGACUCUUGAUCUUUAUUUUGAGUUUCACCGAAAAAGGCGGACUUAUUCUCCUUCAUGUUUUAUAAUUGAGUUGUUAAGUUUUG
Ruditapes philippinarum (Manila clam) is the source of this 3674-nucleotide long non-coding RNA. RefSeq lists it as uncharacterized. NCBI's taxonomy places the organism in Eukaryota, Metazoa, Mollusca, Bivalvia, Venerida, Veneridae. The transcript has 4 exons. The record is from RefSeq and is a predicted model, not a curated record.